RNAcentral lists this transfer RNA (480 nucleotides) under uncultured Bartonella sp. RNAcentral's name for it is "partial 16S-23S ribosomal RNA intergenic spacer". The record is from RNAcentral. Lineage: Bacteria; Pseudomonadati; Pseudomonadota; Alphaproteobacteria; Hyphomicrobiales; Bartonellaceae.
CCCAGCUGAGCUACGGCCCCUAAAACAGUUUAAAAUGCUUUCACGUUAUGCUCUUAUAAAAAACGUCACACUUUUACAAAACAUCUGAUGCUUUUUAAAAAUUAAAAAUAGAGACAGAAUUUUAAACUUUUUAAAUGAUAAAAAAUAAUUUCAGAGGUGACUUCUUUAUAUCUCAUACUCUGCUUUCCAUCUCAUAUUCUCAGUACUAUGGCAUAGUCUGAAAGAUAAUAAAUUUUUUUUAAGGAAUUAUUCAAAAAGCGAUUAUUAACUCUUGCAAAGAGCAACUUUCAGCCAAUCAUAGGAGCUUUCAGCAUAGUGUAAUUGGUGGGCCUGGGAGGACUUGAACCUCCGACCUCACGCUUAUCAAGCGCGCGCUCUAACCAACUGAGCUACAAGCCCUACGGGGUAAACCAGAAAACCUGCACCGGCAUAAUCUGAUCAAAGAAAAUAACGUCUUUCCAUCCCCCUCAGAGGCUUGCG